CGCAACUCCUACGGGAGGCAGCAGUGAGGAAUAUUGGUCAAUGGGCGAGAGCCUGAACCAGCCAAGUAGCGUGCAGGAUGACGGCCCUAUGGGUUGUAAACUGCUUUUAUAAGGGAAUAAAGUGGGGCUCGUGAGCUCCUUUGCAUGUACCUUAUGAAUAAGGACCGGCUAAUUCCGUGC
This 180-nucleotide ribosomal RNA is filed under the name uncultured bacterium. RNAcentral describes it as "partial 16S ribosomal RNA". It matches the Rfam family "Bacterial small subunit ribosomal RNA", at positions 331 to 508 of the family's 1533-position model. The record is from RNAcentral.